RNAcentral lists this ribosomal RNA (399 nucleotides) under uncultured bacterium. RNAcentral describes it as "partial 16S ribosomal RNA". It matches the Rfam family "Bacterial small subunit ribosomal RNA", at positions 360 to 776 of the family's 1533-position model. The record is from RNAcentral.
AAUUUUGGACAAUGGGGGAAACCCUGAUCCAGCCAUCCCGCGUGUAUGAUGAAGGCCCUAGGGUUGUAAAGCUCUUUCGGCGGGGACGAUAAUGACGGUACCCGCAGAAGAAGCCCCGGCUAACUUCGUGCCAGCAGCCGCGGUAAUACGAAGGGGGCUAGCGUUGUUCGGAAUCACUGGGCGUAAAGGGCGCGUAGGCGGCCAUUCAAGUCGGGGGUGAAAGCCUGUGGCUCAACCACAGAAUUGCCUUCGAUACUGUUUGGCUUGAGACCGGAAGAGGUGAGUGGAACUGCGAGUGUAGAGGUGAAAUUCGUAGAUAUUCGCAAGAACACCAGUGGCGAAGGCGGCUCACUGGUCCGGUUCUGACGCUGAGGCGCGAAAGCGUGGGGAGCAAACAGG